Molecule: transfer RNA, 61 nt
Filed under: Lycostomus sp. YXY-2021
Lineage: Eukaryota; Metazoa; Arthropoda; Insecta; Coleoptera; Lycidae
Description: tRNA-Arg
Source: RNAcentral
AUAAGGGCUCGAGCCAAGAUUUAAGUCGAAAUUAAAUACGAUAUUUCGUUUCUUAUUCUAU